Molecule: ribosomal RNA, 264 nt
Filed under: uncultured Atopobium sp.
Lineage: Bacteria; Bacillati; Actinomycetota; Coriobacteriia; Coriobacteriales; Atopobiaceae
Description: partial 16S ribosomal RNA
Rfam family: Bacterial small subunit ribosomal RNA
Source: RNAcentral
AAAGUGGCGAACGGCUGAGUAACACGUGGGCAACCUGCCCUUUGCACUGGGAUAGCCUCGGGAAACCGAGGUUAAUACCGGAUACUCCAUAUUUGUCGCAUGGCGAAUAUGGGAAAGCUCCGGCGGCAAAGGAUGGGCCCGCGGCCUGUUAGCUAGUUGGUGGGGUAGUGGCCUACCAAGGCAAUGAUGGGUAGCCGGGUUGAGAGACCGACCGGCCAGAUUGGGACUGAGACACGGCCCAGACUCCUACGGGAGGCAGCAGNU